GACGAACGCUGGCGGCGUGCUUAACACAUGCAAGUCGAACGGUAAGGCCCUUCGGGGUACACGAGUGGCGAACGGGUGAGUAACACGUGGGUGAUCUGCCCUGCACUUCGGGAUAAGCCUGGGAAACUGGGUCUAAUACCGGAUAGGACCACUGCCUGCAUGGGUGGUGGUGGAAAGCUUUUGCGGUGUGGGAUGGGCCCGCGGCCUAUCAGCUUGUUGGUGGGGUGAUGGCCUACCAAGGCGACGUCGGGUAGCCGGCCUGAGAGGGUGACCGGCCACACUGGGACUGAGAUACGGCCCAGACUCCUACGGGAGGCAGCAGUGGGGAAUAUUGCACAAUGGGCGCAAGCCUGAUGCAACGACGCCGCGUGAGGGAUGACGGCCUUCGGGUUGUAAACCUCUUUCAGCACCGACGAAGCGCAAGUGACGGUAGGUGCAGAAGAAGGACCGGCCAACUACGUGCCAGCCGCCGCGGUAA
This 478-nucleotide ribosomal RNA is filed under the name uncultured bacterium. RNAcentral's name for it is "partial 16S ribosomal RNA". It matches the Rfam family "Bacterial small subunit ribosomal RNA", at positions 28 to 523 of the family's 1533-position model. The record is from RNAcentral.